This 446-nucleotide ribosomal RNA is filed under the name uncultured bacterium. Its description in RNAcentral is "bacterial SSU rRNA". It matches the Rfam family "Bacterial small subunit ribosomal RNA", at positions 958 to 1399 of the family's 1533-position model. The record is from RNAcentral.
AACGCGAAGAACCUUACCUGGGUUUGACAUGCAUCUCUAAGUCGGUGAAAGCCGAUGAGCGUAGCAAUACGCAAUUUGCACAGGUGGUGCAUGGCUGUCGUCAGCUCGUGUCGUGAGAUGUUGGGUUAAGUCCCGCAACGAGCGCAACCCUCGUCCUAUGUUGCCAGCGGGUAAUGCCGGGGACUCAUAGGAGACUGCCGGGGUCAACUCGGAGGAAGGUGGGGAUGACGUCAAGUCCUCAUGCCCCUUAUGUCUUGGGCUGCAAACAUGCUACAAUGGCCAGUACAAAGGGUUGCGAGACCGCAAGGUGGAGCGAAUCCCAAAAAGCUGGUCUCAGUUCGGAUUGGGGUCUGCAACUCGACCCCAUGAAGUCGGAGUCGCUAGUAAUCGCAGAUCAGCAACGCUGCGGUGAAUACGUUCCCGGGCCUUGUACACACCGACUGUAC